This 1163-nucleotide long non-coding RNA is filed under the name Pan troglodytes (chimpanzee). RNAcentral describes it as "lncRNA (ENSPTRG00000053584.1)". Lineage: Eukaryota; Metazoa; Chordata; Mammalia; Primates; Hominidae. The record is from RNAcentral.
CCAUACUUCUGAUAAAUUGUCCUCUCCAUAGACAUGGAAAUUAGCUUCAGUGUAGCAGCAAAGCUUAAAGGAGCAGGUGAGUAGUUAGCUAGGAGUAUGCCACCAUAUCUAAGCCAUUGGCUAUAGAGUAUCAUCUAUGGGGUCAUGCAUAGAAGGGGCCAGGGAAUGAGUUAAGUACAAGAAGGCACCCUAGUAUAGUAAAAAAUAAGACAGGAGUUGAAGUCAGAAGACCAGCUUUAGUCUCUAACUUUGCAGUUUACUGCAUGAGUGAUUAUGUGUCCAUUGUUUGUCCUCUAGGAGCCUUAGUGUCCCCAUAUGAAAGAUAAAGAAUCAAAUGGAUAUUACAUGCAAAAUAUCUUGGGACUCAUAAUCACUAUGUAACCAUCACAGAAAGGAAGAAUACAUUAUUCUGAACCCUGGGCUUGUCUGAGCUGUGCACAGAUUUUAAUGAAUCCCUGAUUCUGUCUCAGAAAAAUAGAAUUACUAUUUGGCAUGGUACCAAUCCAUUUCUUUCUUUUUUUGAGACAGAAUCUCGCUCCGUCACCCAGGCUGGAGUGCAGUGGCUCAAUCUUGGCUCACUGCAACCUCUGCCUCCCAGGUUCAAGCAAUUCUCCUGCCUUAGCCUCCCGAAUAGCUGAGACUACAGGCGCGUACCGUCUCAUUCAGCUAUUUUUUUGUAUUUUUAGUGGAGACGGGGUUUCACCGUGUUAGCCAGGAUGGUCUUGGUUUCCUGACCUCGUGAUCCACCCGCCUCGGCCUCCAAAAGUAUUGGGAUUAUAGGAGUGAGCCACCACACCUGGCCUCCAUUUCAUUUUUAUCCAUGGGGAAAACAGAUGAAGGCUCUAAGAUGGGUGAUAACACUUCCAAGGAUCUGUUUUCCAGGAAACCCAACCUGUAAAGUUGAUACCAAGAGCGGUUUAAGAAAACAAGUGCUAAAAUGGAGUUUUGGAGCCAGAUUACCUGCUACUUUGCCAACAAUGAAGACACCAUCCCUGGUAGUAGGUGAAGCACAGAGAGCCCUGCUACAACUAUCCAGUUGUCAAAGGUUUUACUGGUGGUACAUCGGGAUGGUAUAGCAGUAUAAGGGAAUCCACUAGUUGGUUCCAUAUAUCAGGCAUUUGAGGAAUAUGGGUGAAAUAGAAACAAAACAACAAAAAAUUGAG